GGGGCGCACCCUGCCGUGCGUGGACAAGGACGGGGCCGCGCACGUUCCUGGAGACCGAAAGCCCCGCGAAGAAGCUAGAUAUGUGCCCUGCCUUUUUACAAGCAGCUUCUGACUUCAGAUUGAGGGCGGAAGAUGACUGUGUCUUGAAUGGAAGUCAUAGAUAGCCAAGGAGAAGCUCUUCAAGUGCUAGUCUCUGGAAGCUCUUAUUUCCUUCCUUUUCUGACAGCCAUGAACAGUGGCAGUAAGUCACACAGCAGCAGCAGCAAGUGGAGCCCUCUAGCGUUCCUGCUCUGGCCUCAGUCUCUCAGCUUUCUUCAGUGGGCUCACAGCUCUGGCUGCUGUCCAACUGGUCAGCUGCUCCCUUAGCUGACAUCUUCUCCAACUCAGUAGCUGCUGUUGGUAUGACAGGGCAUACUCUCCUCUGCAUUCGGAAGGCUGGGUGCCAGUCAAGACUCCCACUGCUGGAACAAGGUACCAGAGGUCGUCAGGAUCACUCAGGCCUGGGCAGCCAUGACUGAACGACCACCAGCUAGGUUCAGGCUCCCAGUCAGCAGCAGAUAGUAUUGGAACCACAGGUGGUGCCAAGUGGGAUCAAGCUUAUAUGUUGGGGUCCUGGCCACACCUGUGAGGUCAUCACAUUUUGUCAGCAAUCAACACGGUCUUGCUACCACAGCUUUCUGUUGCUUCUUUCCUCUUUCCCAUACUGCUGAAAGUCCACAAGAAACGAGCACUGGAGAGAAGCCUUCAUUGGAGC
This is a long non-coding RNA of Mesocricetus auratus (golden hamster), 754 nucleotides long. RefSeq lists it as uncharacterized. The record is from RefSeq and is a predicted model, not a curated record. The transcript has 4 exons. Lineage: Eukaryota; Metazoa; Chordata; Mammalia; Rodentia; Cricetidae.